GGGGACGUUUUGGAUUCGACAGGGAUAGGUCGAGCUUGCGUUGCGAGCCGAGGGGUCGGCCUCGUAAAAACGCACAAGCCAAUAACUGGCAAAGAAAACAACAACUUCGCUCUAGCUGCAUAAGCUAAGCGGUCUCUCCUCUCCAUCGCCCAUGUGGAGUGGCUGAGACUCAACUUUAGUGGGAUACGCCUUUCUCCCCCCGCCUGAGGGAGAAGGAAGAGACUAAUCAGGCUAGCUGCACGGAGGCCUGUCUUUGGGCUGAAGUGCUAGCGAAAUACGAAUACAAAGACUACGCUCGUAGAAGCGUAAGUGUCGUUAUCUCUGGACGUGGGUUCAAUUCCCACCGUCUCCAUAU
The sequence is a non-coding RNA, 355 nucleotides long. It matches the Rfam family "transfer-messenger RNA". From Rfam's summary of the family: Bacterial tmRNA, also known as 10Sa RNA or SsrA, is named for its dual tRNA and mRNA-like properties. Its role is to liberate the mRNA from a stalled ribosome. The record is from Rfam.